Cygnus olor (mute swan) is the source of this 1504-nucleotide long non-coding RNA. RefSeq lists it as uncharacterized. Lineage: Eukaryota; Metazoa; Chordata; Aves; Anseriformes; Anatidae. The transcript has 4 exons. The record is from RefSeq and is a predicted model, not a curated record.
CAACCCGAGCGCUACCUAGAAAACCAGUUGAAAGAAAAAUAGGCAAAUAAAGCUACCCCCAAGAGUAUUUUGAGUCGUCAAGCGUCCCGGGGUUUUUAAGCCUCUCUGAUGAGGCCCCGGGAAGGCAGGCGUGAGGGGAAGGAGUGGCUGACUCAUGGUUUUUAAACCCCUGUGGUGAGCAAGUGAGAGCUCUCACCUGAGGCAGUUGCCACCUGGAAGGUGGGGAAAUAUCCUGCCUCCCCGGGCCAGAUCUGGCCACCGGUCAGCCCUCCAAACUGAUCUUCGUGUGGAGCAGUCCCUGGACAUUGCUGUUACCUGAUGGUUACCUCAGCUUUUCUUGUUCCCAACUGCGUUUUGCGUCUUGGCCUCCCUGCCCUCCCAAAUAAUGGGAGAAAGGCAGUCCUGGCCUCAUGCGUAGAUCAAAGGCAGUGAGGACUGCUCUGUAAAAGGGUUUCGGGAAGCAGGCUGCAUGUGUUGGAGGGCAUACACUGAAUAAAAGCCACAAGGCCCAGAACACAGACAGAAAACCUAGGCUUCCCUCUGGGGCAGCUCUUUGUACCCCAGUUACUAGCUUAGAUUCAAACUCCCGCACACUUCUGCUCUGUGCCUUAAGAUCUCCUUAAGACAAGGAAAGGUCACCUUUGUUCUCUUCCUCAUAGAUAGAGCAAAACUAUUUUCUUCAGUGCCUCACAAACUAUGAAAAUACAUUGGUGUGCAAUAAGGCGAGGCUAAGGGGGGAAGCUUAACGCCAGAGGCACUAAUACAGGCCUUCUCGUAUUCUCUACGCUUCAUCUGCCUCAGGGCUUGGAGUUCGGGUCUUAAUUAUUUCCCCAGAUCAGCAGCAAGUGCUCCUCACAGAGAUGGCAGCAAUCUCACCAAGUGUUCAGCUAAACGCCAAAAGGAAGAUUUGAGUGAAUAAAUUGGUUUCCUCUGGCCACUACAAACAUUUCCUGAACUUAAUGAAUGAUGCAUUAUGAGGAGUAGCUGGUGGAAAAUGACAAGACUGGAGCUAUUCAGCAAUUCCCGUUCUACAUCUUCCCAGCGCCCUCUGCUGCUACCAAGUGGUUAUUGCACUUGUCUACUCCAGCUCCUUCAAAUAAGAAGCCACUCACUCACUGGCAGCAUCUGAAGUUAAUACUGCUGAAGCAUAAAACAUCGGGACACGGGAGAAGCGGCUCUACAGGGAUACCGAAAUCCCCCCCUGCCAAGCAAGCACCACAGUGAGCCGCUCUGAACAAUCCACACGGGAAAGAGCAGCCGGGAUUAUUAAAAACCCGCUGCCCAGGCAGCUGGAGCCCCGACACAUCCCUUGCACCGCUCUGCAAGCGAGGAGCCCACAGCACCACCAGCAGGGCGGGGCCAGCCACCAGCUUCCCCCCUUCUGGGGUGCAGCUUCCGAAGCAGCAGGUAACCCCAAUUCCCCACCAUCCCUCCGGCCCGACCACCACACGGCGGGAGGGCAGGACGGGGCUCCCCAGGACCCCCCCAAGCCCCCCGUGUGCGC